UACGGAGGAUGCAAGCGUUAUCCGGAUUUAUUGGGUUUAAAGGGUGCGCAGGUUGUUUGAUAAGUCAGUGGUGAAAGUCUGUCGCUUAACGGUAGGGUUGCCAUUGAUACUGUUAGACUUGAAUAUGGAUGAGGUAGGCGGAAUGUGUAGUGUAGCGGUGAAAUGCAUAGAUAUUACACAGAACACCGAUUGCGAAGGCAGCUUACUAAUCCAUCAUUGACGCUGAGGCACGAAAGCGUGGGGAUCAAACAGGAUUA
This 257-nucleotide ribosomal RNA is filed under the name uncultured prokaryote. RNAcentral describes it as "partial 16S ribosomal RNA". It matches the Rfam family "Bacterial small subunit ribosomal RNA", at positions 524 to 780 of the family's 1533-position model. The record is from RNAcentral.